RNAcentral lists this ribosomal RNA (1011 nucleotides) under Triticum aestivum (bread wheat). RNAcentral's name for it is "partial small subunit ribosomal RNA". Lineage: Eukaryota; Viridiplantae; Streptophyta; Magnoliopsida; Poales; Poaceae. The record is from RNAcentral.
AUGUUGGAGACGAUCCUCAUCGCGGUGAAAGCCAUCGAGACGGCGGUGGUAUUCGUCGCCAGAUCGGGGAGGACGGCGAGCGAGAUCAAGAUCAAGUGCCAGAACCUCUCCGACCGUGUGAAAACCCUGGAAACAAUCUUGUCCCACUACCGGAGGGCCAACCGCGACGGGCCGGCCAUGGCCACCGCGCUGGAUAGCCUCGGCGUUGCCCUCAGCGACGCGCUCAGGCUCGUCGAGUCCCACAAGAGCGCCGCCGUCGGCGAUUUGUUUCCCAAAUUCCGCAAGAGGGACCUCGACGAGCUCGUACACGCCGACCAGAAGAUCGAAAGCUGCAUCAGGGACCUCGAGCUCGCCCGCGAAGCUGAUGGCCAUCUUGCGAGAGCCGUGGCCCCAGCACCGCAGCGCAUCACCAUAAACAACUGCAUCAACGUGAUGGUCCUGGUCCAGUUCAAUCGACUAGGAGGAGGAGCCCCAAGUAGCUCUGCUCCCUCCUCACUGCCAAGUCUUCCUCCUCUUAGGAAGGCGGCCGUGGUGCCACCCGCAGAGGCGAGGAGAACCCACAGGGAGCAGAAGAACCACCCAGUGCAGCCAACCACGGAGACGACAAGAGAAACCCACAGAGAGCACAAGAACCACCCAGUGCGGCCACCCACGGAGACGACAAAAGAAACCCACAGAGAGCACAGGAACCACCCAGUGCGGCCACCCACGGAGACAAGAGAAACCUACAGAGAGCACAAGAACCACCCAGUGCGGCCACCCAUGGAGACGACAAGACAAACCCACAGAGAGCACAGGAACCACCCAGUGCGGGCAAGCCGCGACCUUCCCGAUUCAUCCCCGCAACGGCAACACCGUCCUCUUCGGGAGAUGGUCGACGGUGGAACCUCGCAUCACAACAACCCUGGAAGCACUCAAGCAACUGUAGCACGGGUACCACGUGCGCAAUACCGUGGUGUACCGGCGCGCGCCGUCGAUCGGCCGCCUCCCCGCGAAUCCCCUCCCCGCUGA